GAUGAAGAACGUAGCGAAAUGCGAUAAGUAAUGUGAAUUGCAGAAUUCAGUGAAUCAUCGAAUCUUUGAACGCACAUUGCGCCCCCUGGUAUUCCGGGGGGCAUGCCUGUUCGAGCGUCAUUACAACCCUCAAGCUCUGCUUGGUAUUGGGCCCCGCCAGUUCUGGCGGGCCCUAAAGUCAGUGGCGGUGCCUUCCGGCUCCGAGCGUAGUAAUUCUUCUCGCUCUGGAGACCCGGUUGUGUGCUUGCCAACAACCCCCAAUUUUUCUAUGGUUGACCUCGGAUCAGGUAGGGAUACCCGCUGAACUUAAGCAUAUCAAUAAGCGGAGGA
Molecule: unclassified non-coding RNA, 330 nt
Filed under: soil metagenome
Description: partial contains 5.8S ribosomal RNA, internal transcribed spacer 2, and large subunit ribosomal RNA
Rfam family: 5.8S ribosomal RNA (bases 1-120)
Source: RNAcentral